This 633-nucleotide ribosomal RNA is filed under the name Penicillium sp. NRRL 28148. RNAcentral describes it as "eukaryotic LSU rRNA". It matches the Rfam family "Eukaryotic large subunit ribosomal RNA", at positions 1 to 649 of the family's 3401-position model. The record is from RNAcentral. Lineage: Eukaryota; Fungi; Ascomycota; Eurotiomycetes; Eurotiales; Aspergillaceae.
UGACCUCGGAUCAGGUAGGGAUACCCGCUGAACUUAAGCAUAUCAAUAAGCGGAGGAAAAGAAACCAACAGGGAUUGCCCCAGUAACGGCGAGUGAAGCGGCAAGAGCUCAAAUUUGAAAGCUGGCCCCCUCGGGGUCCGCAUUGUAAUUUGCAGAGGAUGCUUCGGGAGUGGCCCCCAUCUAAGUGCUCUGGAACGGGCCGUCAUAGAGGGUGAGAAUCCCGUAUGGGAUGGGGUGUCCGCGACCAUGUGAAGCUCCUUCGACGAGUCGAGUUGUUUGGGAAUGCAGCUCUAAAUGGGUGGUAAAUUUCAUCUAAAGCUAAAUAUUGGCCGGAGACCGAUAGCGCACAAGUAGAGUGAUCGAAAGAUGAAAAGCACUUUGAAAAGAGAGUUAAAAAGCACGUGAAAUUGUUGAAAGGGAAGCGCUUGCGACCAGACUCGCCUACGGGGUUCAGCCGGUAUUCGUACCGGUGUACUUCCCCGUGGGCGGGCCAGCGUCGGUUUGGGCGGCCGGUCAAAGGCCCUCGGAAUGUAACGCCUCUCGGGGCGUCUUAUAGCCGAGGGUGCCAUGCGGCCAGCCCAGACCGAGGAACGCGCUUCGGCACGGACGCUGGCAUAAUGGUCGUAAGCGACC